Molecule: long non-coding RNA, 246 nt
Filed under: Sorghum bicolor (sorghum)
Lineage: Eukaryota; Viridiplantae; Streptophyta; Magnoliopsida; Poales; Poaceae
Description: long non-coding RNA (SBIC_LNC015734)
Source: RNAcentral
AUAUUCUUGGGCUUUAAACCAAACUGUCGUUGAACCAUAUUAGUAACUUGACUCAUCAACUGAUCUAUCUAGAACUGGGCCCCUUGCUGAUUGUUUGGCUCUAGAUAUCUUUGAUUCUGCAUUCUUUUAUUAUUUUGCUAAUAUUCAGGAUUUUCACAACCAUUAAGAGUAUAAUGCUCAGAAACAUAAGGAUAGCCGAGAGGUACCACUCUAGGUGCUAAUCUUCCUUGAUAUGGUGGAGCGUUG